Molecule: transfer RNA, 74 nt
Filed under: Dictyobacter aurantiacus
Lineage: Bacteria; Bacillati; Chloroflexota; Ktedonobacteria; Ktedonobacterales; Dictyobacteraceae
Description: tRNA-Thr
Rfam family: tRNA
About the family: Transfer RNA (tRNA) molecules are approximately 80 nucleotides in length.
Source: RNAcentral
AGCCGAUGUAGCUCAGGGGUAGAGCAACGCUUUCGUAAAGCGUCGGUCGUCGGUUCAAUUCCGACCAUCGGCUU